RNAcentral lists this ribosomal RNA (288 nucleotides) under uncultured bacterium. RNAcentral describes it as "partial 16S ribosomal RNA". It matches the Rfam family "Bacterial small subunit ribosomal RNA", at positions 773 to 1060 of the family's 1533-position model. The record is from RNAcentral.
GUGGAUUAGAUACCCUAGUAGUCCACAGCUGUAAACGUUGGGUACUAGGUGUGGGGUCUGACCAACGGACUCCGUGCCGGCGCUAACGCAUUAAGUACCCCGCCUGGGGAGUACGGCCGCAAGGUUAAAACUCAAAGGAAUUGACGGGGGCCCGCACAAGCAGCGGAGCAUGUUGCUUAAUUCGAGGCAACGCGAAGAACCUUACCUGGGUUUGACAUGUAGGGAAAAGCCGCAGAGAUGCGGUGUCCUACGGGGCCCUACACAGGUGGUGCACGGCCGUCGCCAACU